CACGUAGGGUGCGAGCGUUGUCCGGAAUUAUUGGGCGUAAAGAGCUCGUAGGCGGUGUGUCGCGUCGGCCGUGAAAACCUGCAGCUUAACUGUGGGCUUGCGGUCGAUACGGGCAUCACUGGAGUUCGGCAGGGGAGACUGGAAUUCCUGGUGUAGCGGUGAAAUGCGCAGAUAUCAGGAGGAACACCGGUGGCGAAGGCGGCCAUCUGGACGACAACUGACGCUGAGGCGCGAAAGCGUGGGGAUCAAACAGG
This 254-nucleotide ribosomal RNA is filed under the name uncultured bacterium. RNAcentral's name for it is "partial 16S ribosomal RNA". It matches the Rfam family "Bacterial small subunit ribosomal RNA", at positions 524 to 776 of the family's 1533-position model. The record is from RNAcentral.